Molecule: long non-coding RNA, 416 nt
Filed under: Homo sapiens (human)
Lineage: Eukaryota; Metazoa; Chordata; Mammalia; Primates; Hominidae
Description: HSALNT0274992
Source: RNAcentral
CCGACCUGCAGGCCCACGGCGCUCAAGGUAAUAGGGUCCCCAGCCCUGGAAUCAACUCCCUGGGUCUCGGAACGCAACCCACACAAACCUGGACCCUGUCUCUCACUGGCGGGGAGUCGCCUUCGCAUGCAGACGUGGAGAAGUCGCCUCCACCCGCAGCUCCUCCCGUGGACCCAGGCCGCCUCCCCCACGCCCCUCCCGGAGUCCCCAGACCCUCCGUGGCGCUCCUGGUACCGCCCCCACUGCCCCACUCACAAAGAGCCUCAGCUUCUUCUCGGGGGGCGACUUCCUCAGCCAGCCGCUGUACAGCACGUGGCCACUUCUCGUGCUUCCGCCGGCGGGGCCACUUCCGGGCCACGAAGACAAAGGCGCAAAUGCCGGGUCAGGGUGGAAAGAACCCUCUUCCAGAAUAUGUC